CGAGUGGCCGCAAAGUUGUGAAAGAAGACGAAGACGAUGAUGAAGAGGAAGAAGAGAAAAAUAUAGCAGACGCAGAUGUUGAAGAAGAAAAGAGGAAGGUGAAGAAGAAAUGGCGAAAACAUUAAAGAAAAAAAGGAAAAGUUACCAUUAAUAUGUUGAAGCAAAGUUGUGAAAGAUGACAAAGACGAUGAUGAAGGAAAAGAAAAGAAAAAGACAAAAUGAUUUAUAGCAGACGCAGAAGAAAAUAGGAAGAUGAAGACGAAGGAGAAAACAUUAAAGAAAAAAAGGAAAAGUUACCAUUAAUAUGUUGAGGUAAAGUUGUGAAAGAUGACAAAGACGAUGAUGAAGGAAGAGAAAAGAAAAAGACAAAAUAAUUCAUAGCAGACGCAGAAGAAAAUAGGAAAGUGAAGAAGAAGAAAGAAGAAAACAGAAGUGAAAGAAAAACAGGAAAAAAGUUACAAUUAAAAUGUUACAGUGAAGAAACAGUUUAUAUCGGAACUGGAGGCUCGGAGGAAGGAAGAGAGAGGCCUUGAGGGGACAAAAAUAUAUUUCAGAGACAGUUUGUUGAAAGAGGUUGAAAAGGAGGAAGAAAGACGAAGAGGAUGGGGAUAAAGAAACAUAAACGAGACGCGCGAUGUGAGUGAGUCAAUAACGGGAGGAGGAAGAGGAGGAGAGGAAGAGUUAAGAGAGAAAGGGAAAGGUCACGGACGCCGGCAGACGAGUGGAAUGCAGAAAGUGGAGGAAGAGAAGGAGGUUAAAGAGGAAGAGGCGAGUUCCGUGCUAUGAAAUGAGGAUCCAAUGUGUAAGGGGAAAAGGGUGCGAUCGUAUACACGACAGAAAAGUAAUACCACGGUUCGGUAGCGCUAAGUGCGUUUAAUAUUUUCAUUUAAAAAACGAAAACAUUUAUGUAAAAGUUUUUUGCAUGGAAAGAAAAAGUAGUUGCAAGCCAUUACGCUGCGGCUGUUAUCAUUAUGCCGCACAGAACAACGAGCCGGUGCUCUUGUUUAACGUGAAUUUGGAACAUCACGGGAACGAUUUGUGCGCCCGUAAAAAGAAGGCAAACAAAAAUGAGAGCGCGGGGGCCGUGGGUCUGCCGCAGAUACCGGGAGUGGUGAGCGAUGCAUGAGUAAAACGUGCUGGUGAAUCCAAGGCAGCCUGUUGUCCUGCUGACAGCGCCUGUUGGUGGAGCACAGGUUGGCAGGUGCACGCGAAGCGGUAAUGCUGACGGAUGAAAUAAGGAAGUGACCAAACCUCCAAGUCACCAUGACAACACAACACGAUUCAGAAGUGGAAGGAAAACUUGAACUGAUGUGAGGCCGGGAAGAAAAUUAGCCCAGAGACUCUCUAUGGACAUGAGUUACAUCGAAUAGCUCGAAGGAAACAUGUUUAUACUGAUAUUGUCAAUGAAGGAAACUAAGAUUGUAAGUAAAAAAAAUAUCAUGGAAACAAUUUGAUAUAGAAAAUAACAUAUAAGAAACAACUGAAUCUAAUCAUGAGUAACUGUAUAAAUAUAGUGACAAAAAGAAAGCAAAGAGUCUGUGGAAAUGUAGUGCGCCUAGGAGAACUUAAGACGAGGAUGAUGCUAAGGGCGCCGGGCGGGCGAGAUGACUCAUCCUGCAGGGCGCCGCUCACACCACAACAAGAACAACGACUGCUCCUCACCCUGCGUAGUAGUCUGGAGAGCCAUCACGCGGACCAAGCACCGGCACAAAGGCAGCGUCAGGGCUGGGAGGUCAGGAGGAGGGAGGGAGAGCAAGCAGAGGUGACCGCUCCACCUGGCGCCUUUCCUUUCGCCUGGCUCCCGAACCUCCUGCUCCUCCUGCUCCUCCUGCUGCUUCCUGUCACGUCAGUCUUGGCCAAACACAGAGGAGUGUGGCGGCGUGUGGAGGCCGUGGCUGGCCGCGAGGCCGUCUUGCCUUGUGAGGUGGGGAGUCUCGACGCCACAGACAUGGUGUUUGUGGUGCUGUGGUACAAAAAUGAAGACAAGGAGCCCAUGUACAGUUACGACAACCGUCCGGGGCGGCUAGCAGGCCCCGAGCAGCGCCACACCCUCAAGAAUCGCCUACUGGAGGGUCGGGCCACCUUCCGCCCCGGCCAGGUGCCCGCGCUGCACAUCCGACCCGUGCUGGCCGCGGACCAGGCCAACUACACCUGCCGCGUCGACUUCCGCAUAGGUGAGCUAUGUGCCAAUAGUAGUAGUGGUAGGAGUAGUGGUGGUGGUAGUAGUAGUAGUAGUAGUAGUAGUAGUAGUAAUAGUGGUAGUAGUAGUAGUAGUAGUAGUAGUGCUGUGAUUAGCUCCUUUGUUUUGUGUUAUAAGUUAGAUUCUACAGCCGAUACAGCCUUGGAUUGCAUACCUUCGUAUGC
Long non-coding RNA from Eriocheir sinensis (Chinese mitten crab), 2364 nucleotides. RefSeq lists it as uncharacterized. NCBI's taxonomy places the organism in Eukaryota, Metazoa, Arthropoda, Malacostraca, Decapoda, Varunidae. The record is from RefSeq and is a predicted model, not a curated record. The transcript has 4 exons.